This 57-nucleotide microRNA precursor is filed under the name Gadus morhua (Atlantic cod). Its description in RNAcentral is "microRNA gmo-mir-11225 precursor". The record is from miRBase by way of RNAcentral. Lineage: Eukaryota; Metazoa; Chordata; Actinopteri; Gadiformes; Gadidae.
AAAACUGUUCUUAAGUCUGGAUGAAAGCCAGAACAACCAGACUUAAAAACAGUUUUU